CUCGUUCUUUCAGUGGAUUCCUAUUCACAGUCACUCUGACCAUUACUGUGUUAAUUUUCAAAUAUUUUUACUGUAUAGUUUUGGAAAAAAUUAAUGGCAAAAUCAUGCCAAAAUCAAAGUGUAUUCUAGCUGCUGCACCAUUACCCAUUUUCAAAAACUCAUAAAAAUCUUUGCUUUAUAGGUUUGCUCUUUCUUUCAGUGGAUUCUUAUUCACAGUCACCCUAACCAUUACUGAGUUAAUUUUCAAAUAUUUUUACUGUAUAGUUUUGGAAAAAAUUAAUGGCAAAAUCAUGCCAAAAUCAAAGUGUAUUCUAGCUGUUGCACCAUUACCCAUAUUCAAACACUCAUAAAAAUCUUUGCUUUAUAGGUUUGCUUGUUCUUUCAGUUGAUUCCUAUUCACAGUCACUCUGACCAUUAGUGUAUUAAGUUUCAAAUAUUUUUACUGU
Cyprinus carpio carpio is the source of this 446-nucleotide long non-coding RNA. NCBI's taxonomy places the organism in Eukaryota, Metazoa, Chordata, Actinopteri, Cypriniformes, Cyprinidae. The record is from Ensembl.